CACGGGAGGACAGCCCGCCGCGCAAGCGCGGGGCGGGGCCUUCUCGCGCCAGCAAAGGCGGGCGGGGCCUCGGCGGGGACGAGCUGCGACGGCGGCGCGGAGAGCGUCGCGGGCUGCGCUCGGUUCGCGCCCGGCCGCGGCCACCCACCGCUCGGGGGGCCUUGUGUCCUCCCGCCGCGAGCGCCGCGGGCGCUUCUGCUUGCACCCGCCGCAGCCGGGGCCGGGGCUGGCGGGGCCCCUACUCCGCAGUGCCCCGCUCCGCCCCGUCCUUCCCAGGGCGGCCCGGGGGUCCUCGGCCCCCGCCCGGAAGCGGAGUGACCAGCCCCGAAAACGGAAGGAAGCUGCUGCAGGUGCUCUCGAGGAGACGCUGAAAGGAUUUGUUUCCUGGUUCGCUUUCCACGAAACACCAACACUGAAGGCCCGCGUUGGCAACCCGAGGACCCUCUCGCUCUUGAGAGCUUUUUCUGUGUCUUCACUUAAUAAACUUCGUACAAACUAACUAAAUAA
Molecule: long non-coding RNA, 507 nt
Organism: Mustela lutreola (European mink)
Lineage: Eukaryota; Metazoa; Chordata; Mammalia; Carnivora; Mustelidae
Exons: 2
Source: RefSeq, a predicted model, not a curated record